GAACAAAAGAAUUACUUACAGCCUGUCCUGGGUAAGAAAGCUGGUUGGGGCAGAUCCCAGAGGCAGAGAAGGGUGUGUUUCUUGGGUGUGGAUCAAACCUGUAAAGUUCAGGGAGGAAGGUUUGCUAAUCUCUGAGCAGCCCAUAGGACUGUUGGAAUAACAUUUACCAUCUGGGAAAAAUAAUUUAAUUAGGCAGAGGAAUGGUUUUGAAAAACAACUACAGAAAUUGCCACAACUUGAUCCAGUUCCAGUUCCACCAGAAAAGAGACCAAGAACAUAGUAGAAAAGGUUUGGGAGGAAUUGAAUGCAGAAACCUUGGCAAGUAUGCUUUAAGCCCAGAAAAGCUGUGGGAAAAGAAGAUCUUCGGAAGAAAACUUGGAAGUUAGAAAGUCUUUGGGAUCCUGAAAUUAAGGGGAUGAAGAGUUUGUCAAAGCAGAAGUCUAGAUGAGUUGCUUUGGGAAGAAAGAAGAUUCUACACUUUUUGCUCCGGGCCUGGAACAGAAAAGACACCCAUGCCGAUAACAUGUCUAUAACACUUAUGUUUAUUAUUUGAUUUCUAUCAUUUCCUAAUUUUUAAAUGUUGAUUGUCACGGACAUGAUUUGACACAACAAAAAGGGACAUUUGCUUAAUGUUAGUGCUUAUGACCAUAGCGGCUGCCCCAGCAUGUUGCCUAACAUUUAAUUGAGAGCUGAAGAAACUCUCUGCAACCUCGGAACGUGGUUCAUUAAAACAUUUUAAGAGGAGGAGCACCUGGGUGGCACAGUUGGUUAAGCAUCCAACUGUUAGGUUGUGAUCUGAGGUUCACAAGAUCGAGCCCCGUGUCCAGCUUUGCACUCAGCAUGGAGUCUGCUUAAGUUUCUCUCUCUCUCUCCCUUUGCACCUUGCCCCCCACCCUUUCUCUGAAAUAAAUAAAACCUUAAAAAAAAAAAAAACAAAAAACAAAAAACUUCUCGAGAGGAAUAUUACCAGGCACAAAUGUCAAGUCAAGGAGCAAAGAAGCUAACCCAACUUUACCACAAAGAAUUGGACUAGCCUUUCUUUCUGAACCUGUGAUUUCCUUCAUCAUAUCAGGUGUGGCACAAUGUAUGAGAGGUUUCCUAACAAUAUAGAAUAACCAAAAGCCAGAAAAGGCAGGGAGGCCACUUCUCUCAUUGUUGCUUAGAAGAUCUCUGUAGGUAACUUGCAUAGAUACUAAUGAGAACAACGUGAAUUAAUCCCACAGCUCAGGAUAGAGCUCAGACAGGAUAGCUGAGGACACAGAACUCAGAAUUCAAAUGCAGUCAGAAUAAGGCUACAUAUAUUAUCUCAACAUGUGGGAAUCCAUCUGUAAUAGCUAUCAAUGGCUCUAUACAACCAACUUACAUAGUUCAUUCAUUAACCAGGAGCUAAUAUACUGCAGAAAUGCUCUAAUGGGUAUAUUUCCAAAAUAAAUUUGAGAGCAUUAACCAUAUUUUGUUCAUCGAAGGAGUGUAGUGAAUUAUAAGGGUCAAAGGCAAGAUGACAUUCGUGGAAAGUGAAUAAGCAUUCAAAGAGCAAGGAUAAUAUCUAGAACUAGACUGUCCACUACAGUAGCCACUAGCCACAUGUAACAAUGUAAAUUUAAAUUAAUUAAAAUUAAAUGAUAUUUCAAAUUCAGUUCUUCAGUCACUCUAGCACAUUUCAAAUGCUCAAUAGCCACAUGUGGCUAGUUGCUACCGUACUAAAUGUUGAUAGAGAACAUGUUCAUAAACACUGGAAGUUCUAUCGCACUGUGCCGAUGCAGACCUUCCAACAUCUGUCUCCAUUCCAACUCCAGCAUGUAUAAUUUUCAUAUUCUGGAUAGUGUGAUUUCAGGAUUCAAAAAGGCCCCAGAAGAAAACAAACAAACAAACAAACAAACAAACAAAAAAACCCACCUAGGACAAGGUGUGGCCAUCAUCACUGACUGAGCAGCUAAGGAGCCCAUAGGGACAGGCAUAACUUUGGGACCUGAGUUUUUCUGUGCAUAUGAGAAACCCUGAAUUGCCACUAUAGCUACCCAGCUAAAGCCAUCCUCUCCCUUCAGGCUGUGGCCGUGUGUUUAUGAGGUCUGUCUGUGUUCGGUAUCAGCUUCUGGCUACUUGUCUAAUUAUGUAGACAGUGAGCACAUGUGAGAUAAAGGGGUAGGAGAAACAGUCCCUUGUGAUCUCAGCCCAUAUAUUGCCCAUCACCCUCCCCUGUCACUGUGGUUCCCUCAUUCAUGUGAACAUGAUAGGUUAAAGUCAGAAUUUAGAGUAUUGAAGCAGAACAUGAUGUAUCAUAGAAGCUCUUAAUUACUGGGACAAUAACCUGAAAGUGAGUAUGUACAAAAGGUAUUACACGAUUAGCCAAGACAGGGGAGAAAUUCAUCUCAUGAAGUAAGCUUAGUUGUUGAAACCAUGUUUUGUCCACAAUCUUCGUUUGUCUGUUUGUUUUCUGCGAUCAUUUGCAUGGGAUAUUUCAAAUCAUCUUUAUGUGAGUCUAGGUAAUUACAAUAAAAAAGGAAAAAUAAACAAACACC
Long non-coding RNA from Canis lupus familiaris (dog), 2519 nucleotides. RefSeq lists it as uncharacterized. The transcript is spliced from 2 exons. Lineage: Eukaryota; Metazoa; Chordata; Mammalia; Carnivora; Canidae. The record is from RefSeq and is a predicted model, not a curated record.